AUUGAACGCUGGCGGCAGGCCUAACACAUGCAAGUCGGACGGUAGCACAGAGGAGCUUGCUCCUCGGGUGACGAGUGGCGGACGGGUGAGUAAUGUCUGGGGAUCUGCCCGAUAGAGGGGGAUAACCACUGGAAACGGUGGCUAAUACCGCAUAACGUCGCAAGACCAAAGAGGGGGACCUUCGGGCCUCUCACUAUCGGAUGAACCCAGAUGGGAUUAGCUAGUAGGCGGGGUAACGGCCCACCUAGGCGACGAUCCCUAGCUGGUCUGAGAGGAUGACCAGCCACACUGGAACUGAGACACGGUCCAGGCUCCUACGGGAGGCAGCAGUGGGGAAUAUUGCACAAUGGGCGCAAGCCUGAUGCAGCCAUGCCGCGUGUAUGAAGAAGGCCUUCGGGUUGUAAAGUACUUUCAGCGGGGAGGAAGGCGAUGUGGUUAAUAACCGCGUCGAUUGACGUUACCCGCAGAAGAAGCACCGGCUAACUCCGUGCCAGCAGCCGCGGUAA
This 506-nucleotide ribosomal RNA is filed under the name uncultured bacterium. RNAcentral's name for it is "partial 16S ribosomal RNA". It matches the Rfam family "Bacterial small subunit ribosomal RNA", at positions 29 to 523 of the family's 1533-position model. The record is from RNAcentral.